CUACGGGUGGCUGCAGUAGGGAAUAUUGGACAAUGGGCGAAAGCCUGAUCCAGCAACACCGCGUGCACGAUGACGGCCUUCGGGUUGUAAAGUGCUUUUAGAGGAGAUGAGAAAGGACAGUAUCCUCUGAAUAAGCCUCGGCGAACUACGUGCCAGCAGCCGCGGUAAAACGUAGGAGGCAAGCGUUAUCCGGAUUUAUUGGGCGUAAAGCGCGUGCAGGCGGUCUAGCAAGUUGGAUGUGAAAGCUCCCGGCUCAACUGGGAGAGGUCGUUCAAUACUGUUAGACUAGAGAAUAGGAGAGGGAGGUGGAAUUCCGGGUGUAGUGGUGAAAUGCGUAGAUAUCCGGAGGAACACCAGUGGCGAAAGCGGCCUCCUGGACUAUUUCUGACGCUAAGACGCGAAAGCUAGGGUAGCAAACGGGAUUAGAUACCCAGUAGUC
Molecule: ribosomal RNA, 439 nt
Filed under: uncultured bacterium
Lineage: Bacteria
Description: partial 16S ribosomal RNA
Rfam family: Bacterial small subunit ribosomal RNA
Source: RNAcentral